Gasterosteus aculeatus aculeatus (three-spined stickleback) is the source of this 186-nucleotide non-coding RNA. The record is from RefSeq and is a predicted model, not a curated record. NCBI's taxonomy places the organism in Eukaryota, Metazoa, Chordata, Actinopteri, Perciformes, Gasterosteidae.
UUAUAUUAUAUUUUACCUCCUCGUUUGCGGCGGAGUCUUCACUCCGGCGCGAGGACACCCGAGGACACGCGACAAGGCUGGGAGGCUGGAAGCUGCGCCAUGUGAAAGGAGCUCCGCCCCUUUGGACCCUCUCAACUCUUGACCUCUGCAGAAGUCGACGCCGUGACCAAACCUGGACCCUUCCCG